This 69-nucleotide transfer RNA is filed under the name Marmota monax (woodchuck). Its description in RNAcentral is "tRNA.Phe". The record is from RNAcentral. Lineage: Eukaryota; Metazoa; Chordata; Mammalia; Rodentia; Sciuridae.
UGGUAUAGCCCAGUGGAAGAGCAUUUGCCUAAAACACAUGAAGCCCUGAAUUCAAUUCCCAGUAUGCAA